GACGAACGCUGGCGGCGUGCUUAACACAUGCAAGUCGAACGGAAAGGCCCUGCUUUUGUGGGGUGCUCGAGUGGCGAACGGGUGAGUAACACGUGAGUAACCUGCCCUUGACUUUGGGAUAACUUCAGGAAACUGGGGCUAAUACCGGAUAGGAGCUCCUGCUGCAUGGUGGGGGUUGGAAAGUUUCGGCGGUUGGGGAUGGACUCGCGGCUUAUCAGCUUGUUGGUGGGGUAGUGGCUUACCAAGGCUUUGACGGGUAGCCGGCCUGAGAGGGUGACCGGGCACAUGGGGACUGAGAGACGGCCCAGACGCCUACGGGAGGCAGCAGUGGGGAAUAUUGCACAAUGGGCGGAAGCCUGAUGCAGCAACGCCGCGUGCGGGAUGACGGCCUUCGGGUUGUAAACCGCUUUCGCCUGUGACGAAGCGUGAGUGACGGUAAUGGGUAAAGAAGCACCGGCUAACUACGUG
RNAcentral lists this ribosomal RNA (468 nucleotides) under uncultured bacterium. RNAcentral's name for it is "partial 16S ribosomal RNA". It matches the Rfam family "Bacterial small subunit ribosomal RNA", at positions 28 to 507 of the family's 1533-position model. The record is from RNAcentral.